This 607-nucleotide ribosomal RNA is filed under the name uncultured Methanosarcinales archaeon. RNAcentral describes it as "bacterial SSU rRNA". It matches the Rfam family "Archaeal small subunit ribosomal RNA", at positions 315 to 922 of the family's 1478-position model. Lineage: Archaea; Methanobacteriati; Methanobacteriota; Methanomicrobia; Methanosarcinales. The record is from RNAcentral.
GCCAGGCCCUACGGGGCGCAGCAGGCGCGAAAACUUUACAAUGCGGGAAACCGUGAUAAGGGGACACCGAGUGCCAGCAUCAUAUGCUGGCUGUCCAGAUGUGUAAAAUACAUCUGUUAGCAAGGGCCGGGCAAGACCGGUGCCAGCCGCCGCGGUAACACCGGCGGCCCGAGUGGUGAUCGUGAUUAUUGGGUCUAAAGGGUCCGUAGCCGGUUUGGUCAGUCCUCCGGGAAAUCUGAUAGCUCAACUAUUAGGCUUUCGGGGGAUACUGCCAGACUUGGAACCGGGAGAGGUAAGAGGUACUACAGGGGUAGGAGUGAAAUCUUGUAAUCCCUGUGGGACCACCUGUGGCGAAGGCGUCUUACCAGAACGGGUUCGACGGUGAGGGACGAAAGCUGGGGGCACGAACCGGAUUAGAUACCCGGGUAGUCCCAGCCGUAAACGAUGCUCGCUAGGUGUCAGGCAUGGCGCGACCGUGUCUGGUGCCGCAGGGAAGCCGUGAAGCGAGCCACCUGGGAAGUACGGCCGCAAGGCUGAAACUUAAAGGAAUUGGCGGGGGAGCACAACAACGGGUGGAGCCUGCGGUUUAAUUGGAUUCAACGCCGGC